RNAcentral lists this ribosomal RNA (198 nucleotides) under uncultured bacterium. RNAcentral's name for it is "partial 16S ribosomal RNA". It matches the Rfam family "Bacterial small subunit ribosomal RNA", at positions 328 to 539 of the family's 1533-position model. The record is from RNAcentral.
ACGCUCGACACCUACGGGAGACAGCAGUGGGGAAUAUUGCACAAUGGGGGAAACCCUGAUGCAGCAACGCCGCGUGAAGGAAGACGGUUUUCGGAUUGUAAACUUCUGUUCUUAGUGAAGAUAGUGACGGUAGCUAAGGAGCAAGCCACGGCUAACUACGUGCGAGCAGCCGCGGUAAUCUGAGCGGGCUGGCAAGGC